RNAcentral lists this ribosomal RNA (468 nucleotides) under uncultured bacterium. RNAcentral's name for it is "partial 16S ribosomal RNA". It matches the Rfam family "Bacterial small subunit ribosomal RNA", at positions 28 to 507 of the family's 1533-position model. The record is from RNAcentral.
GACGAACGCUGGCGGCGUGCUUAACACAUGCAAGUCGAACGGAAAGGCCCUGCUUUUGUGGGGUGCUCGAGUGGCGAACGGGUGAGUAACACGUGAGUAACCUGCCCUUGACUUUGGGAUAACUUCAGGAAACUGGGGCUAAUACCGGAUAGGAGCUCCUGCUGCAUGGUGGGGGUUGGAAAGUUUCGGCGGUUGGGGAUGGACUCGCGGCUUAUCAGCUUGUUGGUGGGGUAGUGGCUUACCAAGGCUUUGACGGGUAGCCGGCCUGAGAGGGUGACCGGCCACAUUGGGACUGAGAUACGGCCCAGACUCCUACGGGAGGCAGCAGUAGGGAAUAUUGCGCAAUGGGCGGAAGCCUGAUGCAGCAACGCCGCGUGCGGGAUGACUGCCUUCGGGUUGUAAACCGCUUUCGCCUGUGACGAAGCGUGAGUGACGGUAAUGGGUAAAGAAGCACCGGCUAACUACGUG